UGGUUGGACCCUGCGCAAUAAGACCCUGCGAACCCUGUCAGGUCCGGAAGGAAGCAGCAGUAAACAGGCAAUCUUGUGUGCCGCAGAAUUCUCUAACCUGAGC
RNAcentral lists this signal recognition particle RNA (103 nucleotides) under Pseudoramibacter alactolyticus ATCC 23263. Its description in RNAcentral is "Bacterial signal recognition particle RNA". It matches the Rfam family "Bacterial small signal recognition particle RNA". From Rfam's summary of the family: The signal recognition particle (SRP) is a universally conserved ribonucleoprotein involved in the co-translational targeting of proteins to membranes. The record is from RNAcentral. Lineage: Bacteria; Bacillati; Bacillota; Clostridia; Eubacteriales; Eubacteriaceae.